UUGAGCCUACGGGGCGCAGCAGUAGGGAAUUUUCGUCAAUGGGCGCAAGCCUGAACGAGCAAUGCCGCGUGAACGAGGAAGGUCUUCGGAUCGUAAAGUUCUAUUGAAGGGGAAAAAGAGCGGAGAGAGGAAAUGAACUCCGAUUGAUAUUACCCUUCGGGGAAGUCACGGCUAACUACGUGCCAGCAGCCGCGGUAAUACGUAGGUGGCGAGCGUUAUCCGGAAUGAUUGGGCGUAAAGGGUGCGUAGGCGGCCUGCUAAGUCUGGAGUGAAAGGUACCGGCUCAACCGGUACAGGCUCUGGAA
Molecule: ribosomal RNA, 305 nt
Filed under: uncultured bacterium
Lineage: Bacteria
Description: bacterial SSU rRNA
Rfam family: Bacterial small subunit ribosomal RNA
Source: RNAcentral